GAGUUUGAUCGUGGCUCAGAGUGAACGCUGGCGGUAGGCCUAACACAUGCAAGUCGAACGGUAACAGGUCUUUCGGGAUGCUGACGAGUGGCGGACGGGUGAGGAAUCCAUCGGAAUCUGCUCAGUCGUGGGGGAUAACGCAUGGAAACGUGCGCUAAUACCGCAUACGACCUUCGGGUGAAAGCAGGGGAAUCUUUAGGGAUCCUUGCGCGAUUGAAUGAGCCGAUGUCGGAUUAGCUAGUUGGUAGGGUAAAAGCCUACCAAGGCGACGAUCCGUAGCUGGUCUGAGAGGAUGAUCAGCCACACUGGGACUGAGACACGGCCCAGACUCCUGCGGGAGGCAGCAGUGGGGAAUAUUGGACAAUGGGGGCAACCCUGAUCCAGCCAUACCGCGUGGGUGAAGAAGGCCUUCUGGGUUGUAAAGCCCUUUUGUUGGGGAAGAAAAACAACGGGUUAAUACCCCGUUGGUAUGACGGUACCCAAAGAAUAAGCACCGGCUAACUUCGUGCCAGCAGCCGCGGUAAUACGAAGGGUGCAAGCGUUACUCGGAAUUACUGGGCGUAAAGGGUGCGUAGGUGGUUGCGCCAGUCUGUCGUGAAAGCCCUGGGCUUAACCUGGGAAUGGCGAUGGAAACUGUGCAACUAGAGUGUGACAGAGGGUGGUGGAAUUCCUGGUGUAGCAGUGAAAUGCGUAGAGAUCAGGAGGAACAUUCGUGGCGAAGGCGGCCACCUGGGUCAACACUGACACUGAGGCACGAAAGCGUGGGGAGCAAACAGGAUUAGAUACCCUGGUAGUCCACGCCCUAAACGAUGCGAACUGGAUGUUGGGUCCAACUUGGGAUACAGUAUCGAAGCUAACGCGUUAAGUUCGCCGCCUGGGGAGUACGGUCGCAAGACUGAAACUCAAAGGAAUUGACGGGGGCCCGCACAAGCGGUGGAGUGUGUGGUUUAAUUCGAUGCAACGCGCAGAACCUUACCUGGCCUUGACAUGCACGGGAGUCUUUAGAGAUAGAG
Molecule: ribosomal RNA, 1013 nt
Filed under: uncultured Lysobacterales bacterium
Lineage: Bacteria; Pseudomonadati; Pseudomonadota; Gammaproteobacteria; Lysobacterales
Description: bacterial SSU rRNA
Rfam family: Bacterial small subunit ribosomal RNA
Source: RNAcentral